Molecule: unclassified non-coding RNA, 194 nt
Filed under: Glomus sp.
Lineage: Eukaryota; Fungi; Glomeromycota; Glomeromycetes; Glomerales; Glomeraceae
Description: partial contains 5.8S ribosomal RNA and internal transcribed spacer 2
Rfam family: 5.8S ribosomal RNA (bases 1-65)
Source: RNAcentral
GUGAAUCAUCAAAUUUUUGAACGCAAAUUGCACUCUCUUCGGAGAGUAUGCCUGUUUGAGUUUCAGCCUAAAAAAAAAUCGACAUAGUCGCUGUUGCGCGGUGACAUUCGUCGGAAAUUGGGUCAUCUUACACCUUUGGGUUCUAAGAGGCUUAAAAUAUUAUUUACGAUUUCACGAUCGUUUCUAAGAGUUAC